RNAcentral lists this ribosomal RNA (253 nucleotides) under uncultured bacterium. RNAcentral describes it as "partial 16S ribosomal RNA". It matches the Rfam family "Bacterial small subunit ribosomal RNA", at positions 524 to 776 of the family's 1533-position model. The record is from RNAcentral.
GACGAGCCACACAAACGUUAUUCGGAAUUACUGGGCUUAAAGGGUGCGUAGGCGGCGCGGAAAGUUGGGUGUGAAAGCCCUCGGCUCAACCGAGGAAUUGCGCCCAAAACUACCGUGCUUGAGGAAGAUAGAGGUGAGCGGAACUCAGGGUGGAGCGGUGAAAUGCGUUGAUAUCCUGAGGAACACCGGUGGCGAAAGCGGCUCACUGGAUCUUUUCUGACGCUGAGGCACGAAAGCCAGGGGAGCAAACGGG